GACGAACGCUGGCGGCGUGCUUAACACAUGCAAGUCGAACGGAAAGGCCCUGCUUUUGUGGGGUGCUCGAGUGGCGAACGGGUGAGUAACACGUGAGUAACCUGCCCUUGACUUUGGGAUAACUUCAGGAAACUGGGGCUAAUACCGGAUAGGAGCUCCUGCUGCAUGGUGGGGGUUGGAAAGUUUCGGCGGUUGGGGAUGGACUCGCGGCUUAUCAGCUUGUUGGUGGGGUAGUGGCUUACCAAGGCUUUGACGGGUAGCCGGCCUGGGAGGGUGACCGGCCACAUGGGGACUGAGAGACGGCCCAGACGGCUACGGGAGGCAGCAGGGGGGAAUAUUGCACAAUGGGCGGAAGCCUGAUGCAGAAACGCCGCGUGCGGGAUGACGGCCUUCGGGGGGUAAACCGCUUUCGCCUGUGACGAAGCGUGAGUGACGGUAGUGGGUAAAGAAGCACCGGCUAACUACGUG
Molecule: ribosomal RNA, 468 nt
Filed under: uncultured bacterium
Lineage: Bacteria
Description: partial 16S ribosomal RNA
Rfam family: Bacterial small subunit ribosomal RNA
Source: RNAcentral